AUGGCCGCAUUAACAAACCUCAUGACCCGCUUUUGCGCCGGUGAGGACAGCUGGCUAGCCAGAUGCAGCACCAGCGACCCCAGUACAUCUGAAGUUAGAGAUGGAAACGGGAAAUCGCGGCGCAAUAGCAAUAACAAACGCCGGAAUAAAGAAGACAGCACGAAGGGCACGACAGUAAAUGCCGGAUUCAAAAGCUCUCGGCCAGGUCAAAAGCCGCCCCCUAAAGGCACCAGGGAUGAAUUGUCUAGCCUCAACAAAAUUCUGGACCAAGUAUGUCAGAUUCAUAGUAGCCCUGGUAAACCUGCUAAUCAUACCCAUAAAGAAUGUUUGGUCUUCAAGCAGUCCGGCAAGCUCAACGCCGUACACAAGGGGGAGGAUACACCAAGUGAAGACGAGGACGAGCCCCCUAAGCAAGACACGGGGGAACAAAAGCAAUUUCCACCAGAAGUCAAAACAGUAAACGUGUUACACGUAAUCAAGGGAAAAAACAACGCGGCACUCCCAGGAAAGUAUACCCAAGUGCCUGUCACCACGAAGUCCUGCCACUGGUCAUCUCAACCAAUCACUUUCGAACAUCGCGAUUACUCAGCAAGUAUCCGACACGCAGGAUGGGCUGCCCUGGUAUUAGACCCAGUGAUUGGCGGAUAUCACUUCACAAGAAUCUUGAUGGACGGCGGCAGUAGCCUAAACCUAAUAUAUCAGGAUACAAUCCGCGUGAUGGGGUUAGACCCAACACAAAUUCGCCAUAGCAAUACUACCUUUAAAGGAGUAACGCCAGGACCAGGGGCUCGUUGUACGGGCUCCCUCCUACUACAAGUUAUAUUCGGCUCCCUCGAUAACUUCCGUCGCGAGCAUUUAACUUUCCACAUCGCUCCGUUUCAAAGUGGCUAUCAAGCACUGCUCGGACGCAAAGCUUUCGCUCGCUUUAAUGCAAUACCACACUACGCCUCCCUCACACUCAAGAUGCCCGGUCCACGUGGCAUCAUCACAGUGCACGGAAAUAUCAAGCGAUCUCUGCGCGCCGAAGAGAGUGAGGCUGCCUUGGCCGCCGCACACUAA
This 1059-nucleotide ribosomal RNA is filed under the name Triticum aestivum (bread wheat). RNAcentral describes it as "partial small subunit ribosomal RNA". Lineage: Eukaryota; Viridiplantae; Streptophyta; Magnoliopsida; Poales; Poaceae. The record is from RNAcentral.